GCAGCAGCCGCGGGAAUACAGAGGGUGCAAGCGUUAAUCGGAAUUACUGGGCGUAAAGCGCGCGUAGGUGGUUUGUUAAGUUGGAUGUGAAAUCCCCGGGCUCAACCUGGGAACUGCAUCCAAAACUGGCGAGCUAGAGUAUGGUAGAGGGUGGUGGAAUUUCCUGUGUAGCGGUGAAAUGCGUAGAUAUAGGAAGGAACAUCAGUGGCGAAGGCGACCACCUGGACUGAUACUGACACUGAGGUGCGAAAGCGUGGGGAGCAAACAGGAUUAGAUACCCCUGUAGUCCCUGUCUCUUAUAC
RNAcentral lists this ribosomal RNA (302 nucleotides) under uncultured bacterium. RNAcentral describes it as "partial 16S ribosomal RNA". It matches the Rfam family "Bacterial small subunit ribosomal RNA", at positions 508 to 807 of the family's 1533-position model. The record is from RNAcentral.